UACGUAGGGUGCGAGCGUUAAUCGGAAUUACUGGGCGUAAAGUGUGCGCAGGCGGCCGAGCAAGUCGGGUGUGAAAGCCCCGAGCUUAACUUGGGAAUUGCGCUCGAAACUACUUGGCUGGAGUGUGGCAGAGGAAGGUGGAAUUCCAGGUGUAGCGGUGAAAUGCGUAGAGAUCUGGAGGAACACCGAUGGCGAAGGCAGCCUUCUGGGCCAACACUGACGCUCAUGCACGAAAGCGUGGGGAGCAAACAGG
RNAcentral lists this ribosomal RNA (253 nucleotides) under uncultured bacterium. RNAcentral's name for it is "partial 16S ribosomal RNA". It matches the Rfam family "Bacterial small subunit ribosomal RNA", at positions 524 to 776 of the family's 1533-position model. The record is from RNAcentral.